UGCAGUCGAGCGGACAGAUGGGAGCUUGCUCCCUGAUGUUAGCGGCGGACGGGUGAGUAACACGUGGGUAACCUGCCUGUAAGACUGGGAUAACUCCGGGAAACCGGGGCUAAUACCGGAUGGUUGUCUGAACCGCAUGGUUCAGACAUAAAAGGUGGCUUCGGCUACCACUUACAGAUGGACCCGCGGCGCAUUAGCUAGUUGGUGAGGUAACGGCUCACCAAGGCGACGAUGCGUAGCCGACCUGAGAGGGUGAUCGGCCACACUGGGACUGAGACACGGCCCAGACUCCUACGGGAGGCAGCAGUAGGGAAUCUUCCGCAAUGGACGAAAGUCUGACGGAGCAACGCCGCGUGAGUGAUGAAGGUUUUCGGAUCGUAAAGCUCUGUUGUUAGGGAAGAACAAGUGCCGUUCAAAUAGGGCGGCACCUUGACGGUACCUAACCAGAAAGCCACGGCUAACUACGUGCCAGCAGCCGCGGUAAUACGUAGGUGGCAAGCGUUGUCCGGAAUUAUUGGGCGUAAAGGGCUCGCAGGCGGUUUCUUAAGUCUGAUGUGAAAGCCCCCGGCUCAACCGGGGAGGGUCAUUGGAAACUGGGGAACUUGAGUGCAGAAGAGGAGAGUGGAAUUCCACGUGUAGCGGUGAAAUGCGUAGAGAUGUGGAGGAACACCAGUGGCGAAGGCGACUCUCUGGUCUGUAACUGACGCUGAGGAGCGAAAGCGUGGGGAGCGAACAGGAUUAGAUACCCUGGUAGUCCACGCCGUAAACGAUGAGUGCUAAGUGUUAGGGGGUUUCCGCCC
RNAcentral lists this ribosomal RNA (800 nucleotides) under Bacillus velezensis. RNAcentral describes it as "bacterial SSU rRNA". It matches the Rfam family "Bacterial small subunit ribosomal RNA", at positions 56 to 838 of the family's 1533-position model. The record is from RNAcentral. Lineage: Bacteria; Bacillati; Bacillota; Bacilli; Caryophanales; Bacillaceae.